CUCAAGUGAUCCACCCGCCUUGGCCUCCCAAAGUGCUGGGAUUACAGGCGUGACCCACUGCGCCCAGCCCAGAAAUAAUAUCUUUAAGGAAACCUAAUUCCAAAUGCAGUAGAGGGAAAAGUAUUCUCCAAAAAGAAAGAUAUGAGUGCCAGUGUCAUCCAGUUAGAGGCUAAAAGGCUUUCCUCCAUAUGCGAUGCUCUAAUGACUGAUUCAGAUGUCCUCUGUGUGUACCUGUGGAAGGUGGGAAGCACUCAGAGGAACUGGCCUCCAAGAGUUUUCGGAAAGUUUUAACAGUGUAUGCCAGGGAACACACAUUCUCUUUCGAGAAUUCAGCUUCGUCCAAGCCACCCCCCACAAUAGGGUAUCAUUUUUACGGGCCUUCUGGAGAUGCUUCCGAACUGUGGGCAAAAAUGGCGAUUUGCUGACCAUGAAAGAAUAUCACUGUUUGCUGCAAUUACUGUGUCCUGAUUUCCCGCUGGAGCUCACUCAGAAAGCAGCCAGGAUUGUGCUCAUGGACGAUGCCAUGGACUGCUUGAUGUCUUUUUCAGAUUUCCUCUUUGCCUUCCAGAUCCAGUUUUACUACUCAGAAUUCCUGGACAGUGUGGCUGCCAUCUAUGAGGACCUGCUGUCAGGCAAGAACCCCAACACAGUGAUUGUGCCGACGUCGUCCAGUGGGCAGCACCGCCAACGACCUGCCUUGGGCGAGGCCGGCAUGCUGGAGGGCGUGGAGGCGUCGCUGUUCUACCAGUGUCUGGAAAACCUGUGUGAUCGGCACAAGUACAGCUGCCCACCCCCAGCACUUGUCAAAGAGGCCCUCAGCAAUGUUCAGAGACUGACCUUCUAUGGAUUCCUCAUGGCUCUCUCAAAGCACCAUGGAAUCAACCAAGCCCUCG
RNAcentral lists this small RNA (893 nucleotides) under Pan troglodytes (chimpanzee). RNAcentral's name for it is "processed transcript". Lineage: Eukaryota; Metazoa; Chordata; Mammalia; Primates; Hominidae. The record is from RNAcentral.